Vitis vinifera (wine grape) is the source of this 4851-nucleotide long non-coding RNA. RefSeq lists it as uncharacterized. The transcript has 3 exons. Lineage: Eukaryota; Viridiplantae; Streptophyta; Magnoliopsida; Vitales; Vitaceae. The record is from RefSeq and is a predicted model, not a curated record.
AGUAUUUGAUUUCCUUUGAACUGUGUUUUUCCAUGGGAUGUUAUUUUGAUUUUCUCGUCUUUUCAUCUGAUCUGAGUGUCUUGUCCCACCAUUAAUAUACAUAUAAGUGGAUUUUUCACGAUUCUCGGGAGCAGGAGAAGUGUGUGAGGAAAGUCUUCUUAGAUAAGUUUUCUUCGUAUUCCCUGUUCUUUCAUAUAUCGCAUUGUUCAAUAUAUCUGUUAUGUUUGGGUAUGAUUUGUUGACUUGAUCUAUGCAUUAUUGAAUUCAGUUCGAAUAUGUUCUUUAUGUUUUGGUUUGUGCGCUUUACGUUUCAUUUUUUAUUUCUCACUUCUUUCUUUGUGGGUGAGAAUAGUGUAAUUUCCAUUUCUGGUCUUUUCAUGUGAUCUCGGCUUCUUUGGCAAGCAUUUCUAAGCAUAUCACUGGAUUUUUCAGGUUUCUCGGAAGCAAGAGAAGUUUAUGAGGAAGUACUUCUUAUCUAAGUUUACUUCGUAUUCCCUUUUGUCUGCUAUAUCGCAAUUUUCAUUAUCUCUGUUAUGUGUUGGUAUUAUUUGUUGAUUUGUGUUAUUUUUUGUGCGCAUUUGUGUGUUGUUUUUUGUUUGUGAUUUCUUUGAUUUUGGGUGAGAAGAACUUGAGAGGAAUACCUUGUCGCUUCAGCCUGGAGAGCCUCAUCGGUGCCUGAAAUCCAAGUCAAAGUCGACUUGAACCACUCCAAUGGGACAGUCACUGCUGCUCGAUCGUCCCCAGCGAGAAGCCCUAAAGGUCUAUCCAUCCCCAAACUACCCUCCUCCGUUAAAAGGGAAGGGCCACUCAAUUUGGCCUGGCCUAAUCCACCUCUAUCUUCAACAGCCAGCCCAGUUACCCCCUGGUCCUUUUGCAACUCAACUGAGCCUUCCCUCACCAGCCCACUUGCCCUCUCUGAAUCCCCUGUAUCCUCCAAACAGGCCCUCCUACCAACUGGACUCCUCCUGCUACUGCCUCCAAAAUCUUCCCCAUCUGCAACUACUUUUUGAACAUAACAGUCCAAUCCUUCACCAAAACGGUUACUCUUCCCUCCAGAGUUUGACACGUCUCCCCUACCAGCCUGCAACAGGACGAGGUCUUUCUCCACACCUAUACGUGAACCACCACCGCCACCUCUAACCUUCGACUCUAGCGACCCAUUGCUGCAACUUCUCGGAACAACCAUGGAAAAUUUCGGGGGGACUUCCCACCACAACUGGAAGGGGUAGCACGUAAACCCAACCACUAGCUGCAAAGAAGCGGGUAGACUUCUCCCAUUCAACCUCACUAGGAUCCUAGCCCACUGUAAUUGAACCAAAUUCACCGAUCCUUCAUCCACUGCUACAAAGCCUCCACCACAACAGUCCCCAAUUUUAAUAAAGACUUCACGGCUCCACAAAUGCAAAGGAAGACCCAACACUCUCACCCACGCCUCCUUGUAAGACCCCUCCUUUACCAAACACCCAGUCGCGUGUUGCCAUCUUUCCAAACUGAGAAGUCUCUCCCUAAACCUCCUAGGUCCUCUAACCAACACCCUUCUGCCUCUAAACAAUCCUCAAACUCAAACAGAAUUAAAGACCCACCAAAAACAUACACCUGCAAGCCAAAUCUUAGUUACCAUGUACGCCUAGCCCACAUUUCCAAUGCCUGAACCUCUGAUUGCGAAACGGGUCCCUCUCCAAACUUCCCAACCAGGCACCUCCUAAGCUUCUCUUCUCUGCCUUGCACAACUCCUUCUCCAAUCUGAAGCCAAAUAGUCUCCUCCGCCAAACAUUCAUUCUUUCUUACUACACUCGCAUAAGACAUAUUCCCACUCCAAUCUUCCCACUUUCAGCCUACUGCCCCCAAACUCAACAGAAGGAUCCACCUUUUCCUCGGAAAAAGGAACAACCCCGAGCGAUCAUAGUUUUUCAGCCAAAAUGAACCAACCCCCAUGGUUUCCUUCUCCUUCCGGGAAAACCAGAGAGAAGCUCUUUGAUUCAGCUGUGACCACUUUGCAGAAUAAGAACCUUCCAACCCCAUUCUCCCGACAUUCCAGCCUGAAACACCUUCCUCUCUCCUUCCACCCUUUACUCCACCUCAACAACCCAUCAUCUCUGCAACAAGCUUUCGCUCCUGCCAAAAGGCAGCGUAGACUGAGCUCCCCGAAUCUGACCCACCUGGAGUAACCUCUUUCGUGCUCCACAAUGACCCCUCUCAGUCUCCCUCCAAGCUCCUCAACCGAGAUGUCAAAGGACUUGGACUCCACUGCAAACCAACACCUCUUUCCUUCUUCUCCCCUUGUUGACAUGUCCAUGAUUCAGUCUUACAAACAGACAAUGGUUUGUCACUUUUAUAGAUGAUUGUACUCGGGUAUAUUUCAACAAUACUGCUACUAACACUUCCUCCUCACCAAAAUGUUUCUCCUAUUCUUCUCUAUCAAUGUUGUCAAUUGACUUAAAGAACUCAACCUCAACAUCUAGCCUCCCAAUUUGAAGGUCCUCAAACACAUAGCCUAAAAGAACCAAAUUACCCCUGCACUCCACCUCACCCUUAACCCACGAAAUAAAAUUACUUCUCUGAUGAGCAAUUAGCCAUGUAGUGGAUGAAUAUCAUGCUUUUGUCUCCUUAAUUUUUGCUUAUAUUUUUCCAUUAAAGACAAUAUAAUACUGGUGAGUUAAUUCAUCUUAUUUGACUAGUUUAUAUUGUACAUUCUUCUAUACCUAUUGAUUGUAAUUCUAGUUGAAAGUACCAUUCCAGCCUUCUUCCUACCUCCUUUUUAAUAGGCUCAAGAUCCAAUCCUCCAUAUUGGUAUAACUAGUAAUAUAUUCAAUGUAUUUAGAUAAUACAAUAAGAUAGUGGUUCUUUAUGGAGAGUGUUUUAGUACUACCUCAAUUAAAUUAAAGGUAAAGAAACGACUCUUAUUUGAAGGUAUGGUCCCUUCAAAGUUCUUGUGAAUUAUGUGUACUUUCAUUUUAGAGAGAUCAGCGGGUCUAGCAGUGAGUAAGCACUAGGUGAAGAAUUCAGGAGGUUCAGGGAGUCAACAAAUUGUUGAUAACUUGGGUUUACAAAUUUUCAUUUUACUUAUGUAUUGGGAAGUAGUUGUUGUAUUUUCAGAUGAGAGGGCUGGAGAAGGAAAAUUAUUCAUCCUUCAACACCAUAUGUCAUAUUUGUAUGUACUUAUGUAUGUCUCCAUGUAUGUUUGUAUCAAUGUAGGUACAUAUUUAUGUAUGUCAGUAGGAAAGUGAUAUCACCUUUUUCCCAAACAAAUUUAUGUGCUGUUGUUGUAUAUGAUAUCAGAUCAUAUACAACAUUCUCUGCAUCAUCUGAACUUUUUUCUAGUGCAUGACACUUACUGAGGUGGUGCACAUAGUGUUCUUCUCCAAUGUCCUUGUUUGUUUCAUUGAACAAGGGUACAGGGACAUCUCUAAUGUGUAUUUCCUUCCUUCCGCCAAUAAACAAAUAUCCCUUUUGUCAAUCUCGAUAUUAUCAUUUUACAUACACCUAUUUGUAGUUUAGGUUUUUAUUCAAUACUUUGCUCUAUAUCUGUGUUGUUUACCAAGAAAUCAGUAGUGCUCUCAUAUAGGCAUUUCUCCUCAUAUAUAUGUUGAUGUUGACAAGGAGACAAAUAACUCCCCCUUUUUCAGCUAUAACUGAAGGAUUUUAUACUGAAAUUUUAGAACAUGUAUAAAAUUUUGCAGUUGAAUGAGUUAAAAACUUCAUAUUCAACCUUAUUUGAUGGUAGAUAUCUUUGUUGCUUGGUUCUGUCAUCUGUGGAUAAUAGAAAUGAUGUGCCAUGUUUUAUUGUCAACCCUUUAUAAUAAAUCCUUUUGGAAUAUGUUACAGAUUGAAGUGAUAUUGAAAUUUGAAGAAAUGUGUUUGGAAUCUGCCAAGGAAUUUUCUGCAUGAUUUGCCCAGAUUUUGCAUCUUCUGUAUGACAAAGACAUCUUGCAAGAAGAUGCUCUUCUCAAAUGGGCAUCUGAGGAGGGUGCAGAAGAAUCAAAUAGAGUUUUUGUUAAGCAGUCAGAAAAAUUCAUCCAAGCAUUUUUCUCUUUAUUCAUGAUAUGUUCAUUAUAAUCAGUCAUGUGCACACACCCCCCCAGAAGAUCCAUCUUCAUGUUGCAAGCAAGGUCAUAUUUGCAAACUAAGUGGUAUGUAUCCAUAUAUAUUCAACAUGGCAGAUAGAUACUUCCAUGUAGGAUAUUCAUGUGAUCUUGAAAGCACAGUUGUAUUUAUGCAUCUUCUUUCAUAUAGUUGUAUGGCAGGUUGGGGAAAAACAUUUUGUCCAUCUCUGAAUUUUGAUGGAGCUUACUAUCAACCCUGGAGGAAAAAAUGAGUUGUUUUAUUGAUCACAAGUUUUUGUGAUAGGAUUUUUCCUAAUCUAUGGAAGGCUUGUCAAAUGUUUUUGAACUCGGCUUCCAUGUUCUCUUCUAUGUUAGAAUUUUAAUUUCACUAAAAUUUGGCUAGUAAGUGUUGAAACGUAAUUAAAAUUGUAAAAUGCAUGCUCCAAACUUGUACUAAUUUCUGAUCAUAAGGUCCUUGAAACAAUUAGGGGAUUGAUGGUCCAGCAUCCAUUGCCGGACAUUGCUACUACAAAGACUCUUGAAGGCAUGCCAAGUAUAUAGGUACAUAUGGGGAGAUAGGUGGCUAAUCAUGGUAAGUAGCAUUUGGGAUAUGUUUAAUAUUUUGUCUUGAUUGUGAUUAUUUAGCAGCCUUCUUAUAAGAUGUAAUAAUGUAAUAAAUCUUUCAAUCCCUGACCCAUGAUGACCUCAAUGCCAAAGGAGUUCAUUCUCAACAAGUGUUGAGAUGCUCCUAGAUUACUGCUGAGAUACUUAACAAAACACGCAAUCUAAAGAGAGCCUUUUAUCUUCA